UACGGAGGGUGCAAGCAUUGAUCGGAAUUAUUGGGCGUAAAGGGCGCGUAGGCGGUUAGGAAAGUCAGAUGUGAAAUUCCGGGGCUCAACUUCGGAGCUGCAUUUGAAACUUCCUUUCUAGAGUUCAGUUAGGGAAAACGGAAUUCCACGUGUAGCGGUGAAAUGCGUAGAUAUGUGGAAGAACAUCGGUGGUGAAGACGGUUUUCUGGGGUGAUACUGACGCUAAGGCGCGAAAGCAAGGGGAGCAAACAGG
This 253-nucleotide ribosomal RNA is filed under the name uncultured bacterium. RNAcentral describes it as "partial 16S ribosomal RNA". It matches the Rfam family "Bacterial small subunit ribosomal RNA", at positions 524 to 776 of the family's 1533-position model. The record is from RNAcentral.